AGCGAACGCUGGCGGCAGGCUUAACACAUGCAAGUCGAGCGGGCGUAGCAAUACGUCAGCGGCAGACGGGUGAGUAACGCGUGGGAACGUACCUUUUGGUUCGGAACAACACAGGGAAACUUGUGCUAAUACCGGAUAAGCCCUUACGGGGAAAGAUUUAUCGCCGAAAGAUCGGCCCGCGCCUGAUUAGCUAGUUGGUGAGGUAACGGCUCACCAAGGCGACGAUCAGUAGCUGGUCUGAGAGGAUGAUCAGCCACAUUGGGACUGAGACACGGCCCAACUCCUACGGGAGGCAGCAGUGGGGAAUAUUGGACAAUGGGCGCAAGCCUGAUCCAGCCAUGCCGCGUGAGUGAUAAAGGCCCUAGGGUUGUAAAGCUCUUUUGUGCGGGAAGAUAAUGACGGUACCGCAAGAAUAAGCCCCGGCUAACUUCGUGCCAGCCGCCGCCGUAA
Molecule: ribosomal RNA, 450 nt
Filed under: uncultured bacterium
Lineage: Bacteria
Description: partial 16S ribosomal RNA
Rfam family: Bacterial small subunit ribosomal RNA
Source: RNAcentral